RNAcentral lists this long non-coding RNA (41554 nucleotides) under Triticum aestivum (bread wheat). RNAcentral's name for it is "long non-coding RNA (TAES_LNC009217)". The record is from RNAcentral. Lineage: Eukaryota; Viridiplantae; Streptophyta; Magnoliopsida; Poales; Poaceae.
UACAACAGUGUGCUGUCCACCCACUCCCUGCUGGAGCACACCGAUGUCUCCAUCCUGCUCGACAACGAGGCCAUCUACGACAUCUGCAGGCGCUCCCUGGACAUCGAGAGGCCCACCUACACCAACCUGAACCGCCUCGUCUCUCAGGUACUGACAACACCCGACAUGCCCUGCAUCUGGAUUGAACUGUUUUGCAACCUGUGAUGUGAAGCUGAGACUUUGGAACUUGUGCUGUUUGUCUUUGUGUAGGUGAUCUCAUCGCUGACCACCUCCCUGAGGUUCGACGGUGCCCUGAACGUGGACGUGACCGAGUUCCAGACCAACCUGGUCCCGUACCCUCGGAUCCACUUCAUGCUCUCGUCCUACGCGCCGGUCAUCUCGGCGGAGAAGGCGUACCACGAGCAGCUGUCGGUGUCGGAGAUCACCAACAGCGCGUUCGAGCCGUCGUCCAUGAUGGCCAAGUGCGACCCGCGCCACGGCAAGUACAUGGCGUGCUGCCUCAUGUACCGGGGCGACGUGGUGCCCAAGGACGUGAACGCGGCGGUGGCCACCAUCAAGACCAAGCGCACCAUCCAGUUCGUGGACUGGUGCCCCACGGGGUUCAAGUGCGGCAUCAACUACCAGCCGCCCACCGUGGUGCCCGGCGGCGACCUGGCCAAGGUGCAGAGGGCCGUCUGCAUGAUCUCCAACUCCACCAGCGUCGUCGAGGUCUUCUCCCGCAUCGACCACAAGUUCGACCUCAUGUACGCCAAGCGCGCCUUCGUGCACUGGUACGUGGGCGAGGGCAUGGAGGAGGGCGAGUUCUCCGAGGCCCGUGAGGACUUGGCCGCCCUGGAGAAGGACUACGAGGAGGUCGGCGCAGAGGGCGGCGACGACGAUGAUGGCGAGGAGGACAACGACUACUGAUCUGCUCGUCCGCUCGACGGAGGAUCCGUCUCCUCUGCCGCCUAUCUUUAACUACAUGUUGCUGUGCUGUCCUGUUUUGGAGACUUGUGUCUGGGUGUUGGGUUGUUAAGCCAUCGGUGCUUUCUAUGUCGCUGUUGAACUGCAUCAUUAGUACUUCGUGGAACAAGUGUCUCGCUUAAUUGAUGUUCUGUCCUGCUUCAUUCCAGUGUUUCUAGCCAACCUGUCUUGCUCCGUUCCUGUGGUCAUUUUUAGGAACAUUGGCGACCUGUCUCGAUCUAUAUGCGCAACUUAUCUGAUUGCGGAGCAAUCACUUGCCGGAUUGAGCCAAUCUUUAAAGCCCGAAAGCCGACCUGUCUCGAGCAACUGAAUUUGCUUCGCCAGAAAGCCGGCCUGCUGAAGCCAGUCCAUAUGAAGUUUUUGUCCAUUUUCGAUACUUACUGGCCGGCUACGAGGCUUCAUCCAGCGGUUCUGCUUCAUUUUGUCCCAUGCGCAUGGUGAGAUCAAUAGGUGUGCACAAAACGGCUGAGUAGGAUCAAUAGGAUCGUGCACCAAACCGGCGCUGUUCCCUAAAGCUUGGACUUGAUGAGUAGGGAUGGGUUUGUUCACAGUUCGCAGGACGUGCGGAACCAAUUCGGAGGAGAUGAAGAGGAGUAUGCAGAUUACCAUGGGCCUGAACCUGAUUUGGAGGAUCAAUUUGCAGGGAUGAAGCUCCAUGGAAGGGAGGAGGAAGAGCUAGAUUUCUCAGCGGAAGUUGAUGAUCUGAUUAAGGAUGUACGUUGGCUUGCCCUGUUUCGUGUCCAUACUACGAAACCCUUUAGCCACGCUGCGCUCUUGUCACAGAUGCGUAAUGCAUGGUCGGCGGCUCAAGGGGUGACGUUCAACAUCAAGGGACCCAAUUUGUUUCUGGUGCAAUGCCAUUGUCUAGGUGAUUGGAGGAGGAUUGUGGAUGGAGGGCCAUGGCUGUUUAGGAGGGCACCGGUGGUGAUCCAGGAGUAUGAUGGUUUUUCAAAUGUCAAAGGUUAUAGACUCAAUAAAAUUCCGGUAUGGGCAAGGGUGAAGGGGCUGCCGGAUGGUCUCACGAGAAGGAAAGAGUUAGCGGAGAAAGUUGCAGCUAAAGUAGGUGACCCACCUUUCACCGUGAUAAUGAAUGAGGGGAGAAUCAACCCAGCUAGUACCCUCCGGGUGAGGGUUUAUGUGGAUGUCAAUAGUCCGCUUGUCCGUUUUGUUCCAAUAACCUUGAAGGAGUAUAAAAGAUACAGUGUUUAUUAUGAGAAGCUACCGGACUUUUGCUUUGCGUGUGGUAAGAUGGGUCAUGUUGCAGACGAGUGUGGUGAUGGGAUUCAUGACCCAAACUCCUUUGAGUGGGGUGAGUGGCUGUUGUGGGAGCCUGAAGUGCCUACAGCCCAAGGUGUAGGAGGCCGAGGUAGAGGAGAUGGAGGUAGUAGGGGAAGAGGUUGGGAUGCAGGCAGGGGAGACCGAAGAGGUAGAGUAGGGAGAGGCCCGAUGGGCGGAAGGGGGAGAGGGGAUCCCGGAGCAGGGGUGCAGCAAGCUGGAACGCAUCAUAUGGAUGUGGAGGGCUAGGGAGACGGUGUAGGAGGUUUAGGGGAAAGGGGAGCGAGGAAGAGGCUGGUUGAGGCGGAUGGAAGCCUAAACGUCCGGGGGCAACAGCUCAAUCAUUUGGCUGGACGGGUAGCUGGUACUGUCAUGAUGAUCGAAGGGGGAUCUCAAGCGGCAAGCACAAGUGCUGUGAUCUCCACCCCGGAGAAGGACCCAAUUGUGAAGAGAAGGCGUCAGGAUGGAGAAGAAGGUGUUUUAGUGGAUCAAACAAGAGAGGCGGCCUCCCUCGAGGAGGGCCGCCGGGCCUGAUGAAGACAUUGUGCUGGAACUGUCGCGGAAUUGGCGACCCCGCGACAGUUAGGGAGCUCCGCGUCUCGUGGAGGCGUGUGCGCCGUCGAUCCUUUGCAUUGUUGAAACUCAACUUGCGAAGGCCCGAGUGGAGGGAUUGGCUGUUUCUUUUGGUUUUUCAGGAUGUUUUGCAGUUCCAAGUAACGGUCGUAGUGGUGGUUUAUGUAUUUUUUGGAAAGAUCAUGUUAAUCUGGCAAUAAAGAACUUUUCGCAGUACCACAUAGACUCAUGGAUUUCACAACCAGGUGCUGAUGAUUGGAGUUUAUCAUGCUUUUAUGGUGAAGCCAACAGAAGUUUGAGGCAUAACACAUGGGAGACGAUGAAGAGAUUACGAGGGGAAAGUACACUUCCUUGGGUGUGCAUUGGAGACUUUAACGAGGUGCUGCGCCCGGAGGAGCACAUGGGUACUAGCAUUCGAGACAGUGGUCAGAUCGUAGGCUUCAGAGAGGCUGUGGAUGUGUGUGAGCUUGCUGAUUUAGGCUACAAAGGCCUUGAUUGGACGUGGGAAAAGAGAGUCAGGGGAGGCGAGUUCUGUAGGGUGCGACUGGAUCGUGCGCUGGCUAGUCCUAGUUGGUCGGCGCUGUUCCCUUUUGCAUCUCUUGAGCACCUAACAGCAGCCAAGUCAGAUCACUGUCUCAUUCUGCUUAAUACAGAGCUGGAGACAACAAGUAUGAGGCACGCUCUAAAAAAACCCUUUCGAUAUGAGUGUAUGUGGGAAACAAAGGAAGAUUUUCAUCAAGUAGUGGAGGAAGUCUGGAACCGUAAUCAACCUUCUCUUUCAGUUUCGGACCUAGCUGCCAAGCUCAGUUCAGUUUCUGUAGCGCUAGCUCAGUGGGGACGCAUGUCGUUUGGAUCAGUCCGGCAGGAGCUUCGUUCGUUGCGACAUCAGCUAGCUACCCUACGGGCAGUCCCGGGCCGGGUAGGCCCAAGUGAGGAGGAGAAGCGAGUCCAAGAUCGUAUGAUCGAAGUUUCUCUGGCGGAGGAGAUCAUGAUGAGGCAGAGAUCACGAAUAAAAUGGCUCGCUGAAGGGGAUAAGAAUACUGGAUUUUUUCAGAAAAAAGCAAGUGCCCACAGGGCAAAAAAACAAGAUAACUCAGCUACAAAGAAACGAUGGUACAAUCAGCACUGAUUCGGAGGAGCUGGCACGCAUGGCUACUGAGUUUUACUCUAAUCUCUAUACUUCGGAAGGUACAAUUGGUAUGGAGGAAGUGCUCUCCCAUAUACCAUCAAGGGUAGAUGCUGAGAUGAAUACACGCCUGAAUAAGCCGUAUAGCAAAGAGGAGGUCAAAGAAGCGCUAUUCCAAAUGUUUCCUACAAAAGCUCCGGGACCUGAUGGAUUCCCGGCGCACUUCUUUCAAAGGCAUUGGGAUUUAUGUGGGGAAGAGAUUACGGGUAUGAUCAUAAGAGUGCUCGAUGGAGUUGACUCACCGUAGGAUAUCAAUCGUACGUUCAUUGUUAUGAUUCCGAAAGUUGCUAGUCCAAAGAUCUUAGGACAAUUUCGGCCAAUAAGCCUUUGUAAUGUAAUCUACAAGAUUGCAUCAAAGGUCUUAGCCAAUAGGCUGAAAAUGAUUCUUCCAGAGGUGAUUUCAGAAGAGCAGUCAGCGUUCGUUCCUAGACGUCUCAUCACGGAUAAUUUUAUAACUGCCUAUGAGAGUUUACACUAUAUGAAAACGAGAAGAGUAAAGAGUAACCGGUAUUGUGCGCUAAAACUGGAUAUGAUGAAAGCAUAUGAUCGACUGGAAUGGCCAUACUUGAAGGCGGUCAUGACGAAGUUGGGUAUUAGCCCGAGGUUCAUUGAUACUAUUAUGAGGUGCGUGUCGUCGGUGUCUUUUUCGGUGCUUUUUAAUGGAGGUGUGUUGGAUGAUUUCAGGCCUUCUUGUGGAGUUAGGCAAGGGGAUCCAAUAUCCCCCUAUUUGUUCGUCAUUGCAGCAGAGGGUCUAUCUUGUUUGCUGAAAAAUGGCAUCCGCGGUAUCAAGGUGGCACCGACGGCCCCGGAGGUCAAUCAUCUUCUGUUCGCAGAUGACAGUUUACUGUUUUUUGAGGCAUCAAAUGACGAAGCAAGGAGAGUCCGCGACUUGCUGCAGGUUUAUUGCAACGCCUGCGGCCAAAGAAUCAAUGCUGACAAGAGCUCUAUUUAUUUCAGUAAGGCAGUUCCGGACAGCUUGAGAGGUGAGAUCAAGGAGACCCUAGCAGUUCAUACUGAAUCUCUUUCGGAGAAAUACUUGGGUCUUCCAACGGAUGUUGGCAAAUCCAAGGAGGGAUGCUUUCGAUAUUUGAAGGAUAGGAUUUCGAAACAUGUGCAAGGGUGGAUGGAGAAGUGCCUCUCUGCAGGAGGAAAGGAGGUCUUAAUUAAAUCAGUUGCCCAAUCAAUACCAACAUAUUCGAUGUCAUGUUUCAAGCUGCCUCGCGUGGUCUUUGCAACCAUAUCAAUGGGCUUCUGAGGAAUUUUUGGUGGGGGAGUAAGAGGGGUGAAAGGAAGACAGCCUGGGUCUCCUGGAAUACUAUGACAAAACCAAAAUAUAUGGGUGGAAUGGGUUUCCGCGAUAUUGAGGUUUUUAUCUUAGCUUUAUUAGCUAGACAAGCUUGGAGGAUAUUACAAGAUCCGAGUUCAUUGAGUGCUCGUGUCUUGAAAUCAAGGUACUUCCCGGAGGGAGAGUUCUUGGAUGCGCCACUUGGACCAAAUGUUGGAAAUAUGCCCUAGAGGCAAUAAUAAAAUGGUUAUUAUUGUGUUUCCUUGUUCAUGAUAAUUGUCUAUUGUUCAUGCUAUAAUUGUAUUAACUGGAAACCGUAAUACAUGUGUGAAUACAUAGACCACAACAUGUCCCUAGUAAGCCUCUAGUUGACUAGCUCGUUGAUCAAUAGAUGGUUAUGGUUUCCUGACCAUGGACAUUGGAUGUCAUUGAUAACGGGAUCACAUCAUUAGGAGAAUGAUGUGAUGGACAAGACCCAAUCCUAAGCAUAGCACAAGAUCGUGUAGUUCGUUUGCUAAGAGCUUUUCUAAUGUCAAGUAUCAUUUCCUUAGACCAUGAGAUUGUGCAACUCCCGGAUACCGUAGGAAUGCUUUGGGUGUACCAAACGUCACAACGUAACUGGGUGGCUAUAAAGGUGCACUACAGGUAUCUCCGAAAGUGUCUGUUGGGUUGGCACGAAUCGAGACUGGGAUUUGUCACUCCGUAUGACGGAGAGGUAUCUCUGGGCCCACUCGGUAAUGCAUCAUCAUAAUGAGCUCAAUGUGACUAAUCAGUUAGCCACGGGAUCAUGUGUUACGGAACGAGUAAAGAGACUUGCCGGUAACGAGAUUGAACGAGGUAUUGGGAUACCGACGAUCGAAUCUCGGGCAAGUAACAUACCGAUAGACAAAGGGAAUUGUAUACGGGAUUGAUUGAAUCCCCGACAUCGUGGUUCAUCCGAUGAGAUCAUCGUGGAACAUGUGGGAGCCAAUAUGGGUAUCCAGAUCCCGCUAUUGGUUAUUGGCCGGAGAGGUGUCUCGGUCAUGUCUGCAUGGUUCCCGAACCCGUAGGGUCUACACACUUAAGGUUCGGUGAUGCUAGAGUUGUUAUGGGAAAUAGUAUGUGGUUACCGAAGGUUGUUCGGAGUCCCAAAUGAGAUCCCGGACGUGACGAGGAACUCCGGAGUGGUCCAGAGGUGAAGAUCGAUAUAUUGGACGAAGGGUAUUGGACUCCGGAAUUGUUCUGCGAGUACCGGGUGACGACCAGCGUGACCGAAAGGUGUUUCGGAGGCCCCGGCAAGCGUUGGGGGGCCUUAUGGGCCAAGGGGAGGGGGCACACCAGCCCACUAAGGGGCUGUGCGCCCCUCCCAACCCCUCUCACGUAACGUGGAGAGGUGGGGGCGCCUCCCCUAGGGCAGCCACCCCUCCCGGCUUGGGGGGCAAGUUUCCCAGGGGUGGGGGCGCCCAAACCCAUCUAGGGUUUCCCCUGUGGCCGCCGCCCCUCCCCUAGGGAACCCUAGGCCGCCUCCUCCACCCCCUUCCCCCUAUAUAUAGUGAGGGAGAGAGAGGGCAGUCGCACCCCUUUGCCUGGGGCAGCCCUCUCCUCCUCCAACUCCUCCUCCUCCGUAGUGCUUAGCGAAGCUCUGCCGGAGAACCACGAGCUCCAUUGCCACCAUGCCGUCGUGCUGCUGGAGUUCUCACUCAACUUCUCCUCUCCCCUUGUUGGAUCAAGAAGGAGGAGACGUCCCUGGGCUGUACGUGUGUUGAACGCGGAGGCGCCGUCCGUUCGGCGCUAGCUCGGAUUUUCCGUGAUUUGAAUCGCCGCGAGUACGACUCCAUCAACCGCGUUCUUGUAACGCUUCCGCUUAGUGAUCUUCAAGGGUAUGAAGAUGCACUCCCUCUCUCUCGUUGCUAGCAUCUCCUAGAUUGAUCUUGGUGACACGUAGGAAAAUUUUGAAUUAUUACUACGUUCCCCAACAGUGGUAUUAGAGCUAGGUCUAUGCGUAGAUUCUAUGCACGAGUAGAACACAAAGUAGUUGUGGGCGAUGAUUUGUUCAAUUUGCUUGCCGUUACUUGUCUUAUCUUGAUUCGGCGGCAUUGUGGGAUGAAGCGGCCUGGACCGACCUUACACGUACUCUUACGUGAGACAGGUUCCACCGACUGACAUGCACUUGAUGCAUAAGGUGGCUAGCGGGUGUCUGUCUCUCCCACUUUAGUCGGAUGGGAUUCGAUGAAGAGGGUCCUUAUGAAGGGUAAAUAGCAAUUGGCAUAUCACCAUUGUGGCUUUUGCGUAGGUAAGAAACGUUCUUGCUAGAAACCCAUAGCAGCCACGUAAAACAUGCAACAACAAUUAGAGGACGUCUAACUUGUUUUUGCAGGGUAUGCUAUGUGAUAUGGCCAAAAGGAUGUGAUGAAUUAUAUAUAUGUGAUGUAUGAGAUUGAUCAUGUUCUUGUAAUAGGAAUCAUGACUUGCAUGUCAAUGAGUAUGACAACCGGCAGGAGCCAUAGGAGUUGUCUUAAUUUAUUGUAUGACCUGCGUGUCAAUGAAAAAACGCCAUGUAAUUACUUUACUUUAUUGCUAACCGUUAGCCAUAGUAGAAGUAAUAGUUGGCGAGACAACUUCAUGAAGACACGAUGAUGGAGAUCAUGGUGUCAUGCUGGUGAUGAAGGUGAUCAUGCCGCGCCUCGAAGAUGGAGAUCAAAAGGCGCAAGAUGAUAUUGGCCAUAUCAUGUCACUUUAUGAUUUGCAUGUGAUGUUUGUCAUGUUUACAUCUUAUUUGCUUAGAACGACGGUAGCAUAAAUAAGAUGAUCCCUCACUAAAAUUUCAAGAGAUGUGUUCCCCCUAACUGUGCAUCGUUGCGAAGGUUCGUUGUUUCGAAGCACCACGUGAUGAUCGGGUGUGAUAGAUUCUAACGUUCGCAUACAACAGGUGUAAGCCAGAUUUACACAUGCGAAACACUUAGGUUGACUUGAUGAGCCUAGCAUGUACAGACAUGGCCUCGGAACACAAGAGACCUAAAGGUCGAACAUGAGUCGUAUAGUAGAUACGAUCAACAUGGAGAUGUUCACCGUUGAUGACUAGUCCGUCUCACGUGAUGAUCGGACAUGGUCUAGUCGAUUCGGAUCAUGUAUCACUUAGAUGACUAGAGGGAUGUCUAUCUAAGUGGGAGUUCAUUAAAUAAUCAGAUGAACUUAAUUGUCAUGAACAUAGUCAAAAGGUCUUUGCAAAUUAUGUCAUAGCUUACACUUUAGUUCUACUGUUUAAGAUAUGUUCCUAGAGAAAAUUUAGUUGAAAGUUGAAAGUAGCAAUUAUGCGGACUGGGUUCGUAAACUGAGGAUUGUCCUCAUUGCUGCACAGAAGGCUUAUGUCCUUAAUGCACCGCUCGGUGUGCUGAACCUCGAGCGUCGUGUGUAGAUGUUGCGAACAUCUGACAUACACGUUUUGAUGACUACGUGAUAGUUCAGUGCGUAAUGUUAACGGUUUAGAAUUGAGGCGCCAAAGACGUUUUUGAAACGUCGCAAAACAUAUGAGAUGUUCCAAAGACUGAAAUUGGGAUUUCAGACUGGUGCCCACGUCAAGAGGUAUGAGACCUCUGACAAGUUUGUUAAGCCUGCAAACUAAGGGAGAAAAGCUCAAUCGUUGAGCAUGUGCUCAGAUUGUCUGAGUACUACAAUCGCUUGAAUCGAGUGGGAGUUAAUCUUCCAGAUGAGAUAGUGAUGGUUCUCCAUAGUCACUGCCACCAAGCUAUUAGAGCUUCGUGAUGAACUAUAACAUAUCAAGGAUAGACAUGAUGAUCCUCGCGAUGUUUGACACCGCGAAAGUAGAAAUCAAGUAGGAGCAUCAAUUGUCGAUGGUUAGUAAAACCACUAGUUUCGAAAAGGGCAAGGGAAAGAAGGGAUACUUCAUGAAUCGGCAAAUCAGUUGCUGCUCUAGUGAAGAAACCCAAGGUUGAACCCAAACCCGAGACUAAGUGCUUCAGUAAUGAGGGGAAUAGUCACUGAAGCAGAACUACCCUAGAUACUUGGUAGAUGAGAAGGCAGGCAAGGUCGACAGAAGUAUAUUGGAUAUACAUUAUAUUAAUGUGUACUUUACUAGUACUCCAAGUAGCACUAGGUUAUUAGAUACCGGUUCAGUUGCUAAGUGUUGGUAACUCGAAAUAAAAGGCUACGGAAUAAACGGAGACUAGCUAAAGGUGAGAUGAUGAUAUGUGUUGGAAGUGUUUCCAAGGUUGAUGUGAUCAAGCAUCGCAUGCUCCCUCUACCAUCGAGAUUGGUGUUAAACCUAAAUAAUUGUUAUUUGGUGUUUGCGUUGAGCAUAGACAUGAUUGGAUUAUGUUUAUCGCAAUACGAUUAUUCAUUUAAGGAGAAUAAUGGUUACUCUGUCUAUUUGAAUAAUACCUUCAAUGGUCUUGCACCUAAAAUGAACGGUUUAUUGAAUCUCGAUCGUAGUGAUACACAUGUUCAUGCCAAAAGAUAUAAGAUAGUAAUGAUAGUACCACAUACUUGUGGCACUGCCACUUGAGUCAUAUUGGUAUAAAACGCAUGAAGAAGCUCCAUGUUGAUGGAUCUUUGGACUCACUCGUUUUUGAAAAGAUUGAGACAUGCGAACCAUGUCUAUUAAUAUAUAUGCAUGAAGAAAGUCCAUACAGAUGGAUCGUUUGGACUCACUUGAUUUUGAAUCACUUGAGACAUGCAAAUAAUACCACAUGGGCAAGAUGACUGAAAGGCCUCGUUUUAAGUAAGAUGGAACAAGAAAGCAACUUGUUGGAAGUAAUACAUUUUGAUGUGUGCAGUCCAAUGAGUGCUGAGGCAUGCAGUGGAUAUCGUUAUGUUCUUACUUCACAGAUGAUUUGAGUAGAUGCUGAGUAUAUUUACUUGAUGAAACACAAGUCUGAAUUCUUGAAAGGUUCAAGUAAUUUCAGAGUGAAGUUGAAGAUCGUCGUGACAAGAGGAUAAAAUGUCUGUGAUAUGAUCAUAGAGAUGAAUAUCUGAGUUAGGAGUUUGGCACACAAUUAAUACAUUGUGGAAAUUGUUUCACAACUAAUACCGCCUAGAACUCCAUAGUGCGGUGGUGUGUCCGAACAUCAUAACUGCACCCUAUUGGAUAUGGUGCAUACCAUGAUGUCUCUUAUCGAAUUACCGCUAUCAUUUAUGGGUUAGGCAUUAGAGACAACCACAUUCACUUUAAAUAGGGCACCACGCAAUUCCGUUGAGAUGACACCGUAUGAACUAUGGUUUAGAGAAACCUAAGCUGUCGUUUCUUAAAAGUUUGGGGCUGCGACGCUUAUGUGAAAAAGUUUCAGGCUGAUAAGCUCGAACCCAAAGCGGAUAAAUGCAUCUUCAUAGAAUACCCAAAACAGUUGGAUAUACCUCCUAUUUCAGAUCGGGAAGCAAAGUGAUUGUUUCUAGAAACAGGUCCUUUCUCGAGGAAAAGUUUCUCUCGAAAGAAUUGAGUGGGAGGAUGGUGGAGACUUGAUGAGGUUAUUGAACCAUCACUUCAACUAGUGUGUAGCAGGGCACAGGAAGUUGUUCCUGUGGCACCUACACCAAUUGAAGUGGAAGCUUAUGAUAGUGAUCAUGAAACUUCGGAUCAAGUCACUACCAAACCUCGUAGGUCGACAAGGAUGCGUACUAUUCAGAGUGGUACGCAAUCCUGUCUUGGAAGUCAUGUUGCUAGACAACAAUGAACCUACGAGCUAUGGGGAAGCGAUGGUGGGCCCAGAUUCCGACGAUUAGCUCGAGGCCAUAAAAUCCGAGAGAGGAUCCAUGUAUAAAAACAAAGUAUAGACUUUGGAAGAACUACUUGAUGGUCGUAAGGCUGUUGGGUGCAGAUGGAUUUUAAAAGGAAGACGGACAAUUAUGGUAAGUGUCACCAUUAAGAAAGCUCGACUUGUCGUUAAGAAGAUUUCCGACAAGUUCAAGGAGUUGACUACGAUGAGAUUUUCUCACUCGUAGCGAUGCUAAGAGUCUGUUGGAAUUAUAUUAGCAGUUACUGCAUUAUUUAUGAAAUCUUGCAAAUAGGAUGUCAAAACAUUGUUUCCUCGACGAUUUUCUUGAGGAAAGAUUGUAUGUGAUACAACAAGAAGGUUUUGUCAAUCCUGAAGAUGCUAACAAGUAUGCAAAGCUCCAGCAAUCCUUCUAAGGACUGGAGUAAGCAUCUCGGAGUUGGAAUGUACGCUUUGAUGAGAUGAUCAAAGAUUUUGGGUUUAUACAAAGUUUAUGAGAAACUUGUAUUUCCAAAGAAGUGAGUGGGAGCACUAUAGAAUUUUUGAUGAGUAUAUGUUGUUAACAUAUUGUUGAUCAGAAAUGAUGUAGAAUUUCUGGAAAGCAUACAUGGUUAUUUGAAAAGUGUUUUUCAAUGGAAAACCUGUAUUAAGCUACUUGAACAUUGAGCAUCAAGAUCUAUAAGGAUAGAUCAAAAACGCUUAAUAGUACUUUCAAAUGAAUACAUACCGUGACAAGAUUUUGAAGGAGUUCAAAAUAGAUCAGCAAAGAAGGAGUUCUUGGCUGUGUUACAAGGUAUGAGUAUUGAGUAAGACUCAAGACCUGACCACGGCAGAAGAGAGAAAAAGGACGAAGGUCGUCCCCUAUGCUUUAGACGUAGGCUCUACAGUAUGCUAUGCUGUGUACCGCACCUGAAGUGUGCCUUGCCAUGAAUUAGUCAAGGGGUACAAGAGUGAUCCAGGAAUGGAUCACAUGACAGCGGUCGAACUUAUCCUUAGUAACUAGUGGACUAAGGAAUUUUCUCGAUUAUGGAGGUGGAAAAAGAGUUCGUCGUAAAGGGUUACGUCGAUGCAAACUUUGACACUAAUCCAGAUGACUCUGAGUAGUAAACCGGAUUCGUAUAGUAGAGCAGUUAUUUGGAAUAGCUCCAAGUAGCGCGUGGUAGCUGCAUCUACAAGACGACAUAGAGAUUUGUAAAGCACACACGGAUCUGAAAGGUUCAGACCCGUUGACUAAUAACCUCUCUCACAAGCGAGAUAUGAACAAACCCCAUGGGUGUUGGAUUCAUUACAAUCACAUAGUGAUCUGAACUAGAUUAUUGACUCUAGUGCAAGUGGGAGACUGUUGGAAAUAUGCCCUAGAGGCAAUAAUAAAACGGUUAUUAUUGUAUUUCCUUGUUCAUGAUAAUUGUCUAUUGUUCAUGCUAUAAUUGUAUUAACUGGAAACCGUAAUACAUGUGUGAAUACAUAGACCACAACAUGUCCCUAGUAAGCCUCUAGUUGACUAGCUCGUUGAUCAAUAGACGGUUAUGGUUUCCUGACCAUGGACAUUGGAUGUCAUUGAUAACGGGAUCACAUCAUUAGGAGAAUGAUGUGAUGGACAAGACCCAAUCCUAAGCAUAGCACAAGAUCGUGUAGUUCGUUUGCUAAGAGCUUUUCUAAUGUCAAGUAUCAUUUCCUUAGACCAUGAGAUUGUGCAACUCCCGGAUACCGUAGGAAGGCUUUGGGUGUACCAAACGUCACAACGUAACUAGGUGGCUAUAAAGGUGCACUACAGGUAUCUCCGAAAGUGUCUGUUGGGUUGGCACGAAUCGAGACUGGGAUUUGUCACUCCGUAUGACGGAGAGGUAUCUCUGGGCCCACUCGGUAAUGCAUCAUCAUAAUGAGCUCAAUGUGACUAAUCAGUUAGCCACGAGAUCAUGCGUUACGGAAUGAGUAAAGAGACUUGCCGGUAACGAGAUUGAACGAGGUAUUGGGAUACCGACGAUCGAAUCUCGGGCAAGUAACAUACCGAUAGACAAAGGGAAUUCUAUACGGGAUUGAUUGAAUCCCCGACAUCGUGGUUCAUCCGAUGAGAUCAUCGUGGAACAUGUGGGAGCCAAUAUGGGUAUCCAGAUCCCGCUAUUGGUUAUUGGCUGGAGAGGUGUCUCGGUCAUGUCUGCAUGGUUCCCGAACCCGUAGGUUCUACACACUUAAGGUUCGGUGACGCUAGAGUUGUUAUGGGAAAUAGUAUGUGGUUACCAAAGGUCGUUCGGAGUCCCGGAUGAGAUCCCGGACGUGACGAGGAACUCCGGAGUGGUCCGGAGGUGAAGAUCGAUAUAUUGGACGAAGGGUAUUGGAGUCCGGAAUUGUUCUGGGAGUACCGGGUGACGACCAGCGUGACCGAAAGGUGUUUCGGAGGCCCCGACAAGCGUUGGGGGCCCUUAUGGGCCAAGGGGAGGGGCACACCAGCCCACUAAGGGGCUGUGCGCCCCUCCCAACCCCUCUCACGUAACGUGGAGAGGUGGGGGCGCCUCCCCUAGGGCAGCCACCCCUCCCGGCUUGGGGGGCAAGUUUCCCAGGGGUGGGGGCGCCCAAACCCAUCUAGGGUUUCCCCUGUGGCCGCCGCCCCUCCCCUAGGGAACCCUAGGGCGCCUCCUCCACCCCCUUCCCCCUAUAUAUAGUGAGGGAGAGAGAGGGCAGCUGCACCCCUUUCCCUGGUGCAGCCCUCUCCUCCUCCAACUCCUCCUCCUCCUCCGUAGUGCUUAGCGAAGCUCUGCCGGAGAACCACGAGCUCCAUUGCCACCAUGCCGUCGUGUUGCUGGAGUUCUCCCUCAACUUCUCCUCUCCCCUUGCUGGAUCAAGAAGGAGGAGACGUCCCCGGGCUGUACUUGUGUUGAACGCGGAGGCGCCGUCCGUUCGGCGCUAGAUCGGAUUUUCCGCGAUUUGAAUCGCUGCGAGUACGACUCCAUCAACCGCGUUCUUGUAACGCUUCCGCUUAGCGAUCUUCAAGGGUAUGAAGAUGCACUCCCUCUCUCUCAUUGCUAGCAUCUCCUAGAUUGAUCUUGGUGACACGUAGGAAAAUUUUGAAUUAUUACUACUUUCCCCAACACCUAACCCAUCUCAGGUGUGGCGCUCAAUGAGGGAAGGAAGAGAAGUUCUGUCCCUGGGCUUGAUUAAGCGUAUAGGUACGGGGGAAGACACUCAAAUUUGGCAGCACAACUGGCUACCGAGGGAUUUCAAGCUGAGACCGAUCUGCUCUCGAUCAGCUAACCCGCCCCUGUUGGUGUCUGAUCUCAUUAAUCAGUCAACCAGGAUAUGGAAUAGGCAAGUAUUAGAGGAUCACUUCAAUGCACCAGACAUAGAUGUCAUUCUGAAUAUUCCGGUUAGUACGCGAGUGCAUGAAGACUUCUGGGCGUGGCACUAUGAUCGUAGGGGCUUAUUCUCAGUACGUUCUACUUACAGAAUGAUCUCUGGAAUUAAAUUUCAGCGAGAAGACUGGUUGGAAAAUCGAACAAGCAACUCGAACCAAACGGCGACGAAGAAUGACUGGUCAAGACUGUGGAAAACAGAGGUGCCAUCAAAGGUCCGGGUUUUUGUGUGGCGUUUGGCCCACACGUCUCUGCCGACGGGAUCGACCAGACACGAGAGGAAGAUGGCUACAUCUCCAGUAUGCGCGAUAUGCUCGGUGACCGAAGAUACUUGGCGUCAUUCUCUUCUCAACUGCCGGAUGGCUCGGUGUGUCUGGUCUUUGGGAGAUGAAGGUAUUCUUGAGCAUGUGAUAUCAAAUCAAGAUGAAGACGCAAGACAGUGGCUCUUUUGUGUUGGAAAUAUGCCCUAGAGGCAUAAUAAAAUGGUUAUUAUUGUAUUUCCUUGUUCAUGAUAAUUGUCUAUUGUUCAUGCUAUAAUUGUAUUAACUGGAAACCGUAAUACAUGUGUGAAUACAUAGACCACAACAUGUCCCUAGUGAGCCUCUAGUUGACUAGCUCGUUGAUCAAUAGAUGGUUAUGGUUUCCUUACCAUGGACAUUGGAUGUCAUUGAUAACGGGAUCACAUCAUUAGGAGAAUGAUGUGAUGGACAAGACCCAAUCCUAAGCAUAGCACAAGAUCGUGUAGUUCGUUUGCUAGAGCUUUUCUAAUGUCAAGUAUCGUUUCCUUAUACCAUGAGAUUGUGCAACUCCCGGAUACCGUAGGAAUGCUUUGGGUGUACCAAACGUCACAACGUAACUGGGUGGCUAUAAAGGUGCACUACAGGUAUCUCCGAAAGUGUCUGUUGGGUUGGUACGAAUCGAGACUGGGAUUUGUCACCCCGUAUGACGGAGAGGUAUCUCUAGGCCCACUCGGUAAUGCAUCAUCAUAAUGAGCUCAAUGUGACUAAUGAGUUAGCCACGGGAACAUGCGUUACGGAACGAUUAAAGAGACUUGCCGGUAACGAGAUUGAACAAGGUAUAGGGAUACCGACGAUCGAAUCUCGGGUAAGUAACAUACCGAUAGACAAAGGGAAUUGUAUACGUGAUUGAUUGAAUCCCCAACAUCGUGGUUAAUCCGAUGAGAUCAUCGUGGAACAUGUGGGAGCCAAUAUGGGUAUCCAGAUCCCGCUAUUGGUUAUUGGCCGGAGAGGUGUCUCGGUCAUGUCUGCAUGGUUCCCGAACCCGUAGGGUCUACACACUUAAGGUUCGGUGACGCUAGAGUUGUUAUGCGAAAUAGUAUGUGGUUACCGACGGUUGUUCGGAGUCCCGGAUGAGAUCCCAGACAUGACAAGGAGCUCCGGAAUGGUCCGGAGGUGAAGAUCGGUAUAUUGGACGAAGGGUAUUGGAGUCCGGAAUUGUUCCGGGGGUACCAGGCUAUGGCCAGCAUGUCCGAAAGGGGUUUCGGGGGCCCGGCAAGCGUUGGGGGGCCUUAUGGGCCAAGGGGAAGGGGAAAACCAGCCCACUAAGGGGCUGUGCGCCCCUCCCAACCCCUCUCACGUAACCAGGAGAGGUGGGGGCGCCACCCCUAGGGCAGCCGCCCCUCCCGGCUUUGGGGGCAAGUUUCCUAGGGGGUGGGAGCGCCCAAACCCAUCUAGGGUUUCCCCUGGACGCCGCCUCCUCCUCCUCUAGAUCCAUCUAGAGGGGCCGGCCACCCUCUCCCCUUCCCCCUAUAUAUAGUGAGGGGGUGGGAGGGCAGCCACAACCCUUUGCCUGGCGCUGCCCUCUCCUCCUCCAACUCCUCCUCCUCCUCCGUAGUGCUUAGCGAAGCUCUGCCGGAGAACCACGAGCUCCAUUGCCACCAUGCUGUCGUGCUGCUGGAGUUCUCCCUCAACUUCUCCUCUCCCCUUGCUGGAUCAAGAAGGAUGAGACGUCCCCGGGCUGUACGUGUGUUGAACGCGGAGGCGCCGUCCGUUCGGCGCUAGAUCGGAUCUUCCGCGAUUUGAAUCGCCGCGAGUACGACUCCAUCAACCGCGUUCUUGUAACGCUUCCGCUUAGCGAUCUUCAAGGGUAUGAAGAUGCACUCCCUCUCUCUCGUUGCUAGCAUCUCCUAGAUUGAUCUUGGUGACACAUAGGAAAAUUUUGAAUUAUUGCUACGUUCCCGAACAGUGGCAUCAUGAGCUAGGUCUAUGCGUAGAUUCUAUGCAUGAGUAGAACACAAAGUAGUCGUGGGCGAUGAUUUGGUCAAUUUGCUUGCCGUUACUAGUCUUAUCUUGAUUCGGCGGCAUUGUGGGAUGUAGCGGCCCGGACCGACCUUACACGUACUCUUACGUGAGACAGGUUCCACCGACUGACAUGCACUUGAUGCAUAAGGUGGCUAGCGGGUGUCUGUCUCUCCCACUUUAGUCGGAUGGGAUUCGAUGAAGAGGGUCCUUAUGAAUGGUAAAUAGCAAUUGGCAUAUCACCGUUGUGGCUUUUGCGUAGGUAAGAAACGUUCUUGCUAGAAACCCAUAGCAGCCACGUAAAACAUGCAACAACAAUUAGAGGACGUCUAACUUGUUUUUGCAGGGUAUGCUAUGUGAUGUGAUAUGGCCAAAAGGAUGUGAUGAAUUAUAUAUAUGUGAUGUAUGAGAUUGAUCAUGUUCUUGUAAUAGGAAUCACGACUUGCAUGUCGAUGAGUAUGACAACCGGCAGGAGCCAUAGGAGUUGUCUUAAUUUAUUGUAUGAGCUGCAUGUCAAUGAAAAACGCCAUGUAAUUACUUUACUUUAUUGCUAACUGUUAGCCAUAGUAGUAGAAGUAAUAGUUGGCGAGACAACUUCAUGAAGACACGAUGAUGGAGAUCAUGAUGAUGGAGAUCAUGGUGUCAUGCUGGUGAUGAAGGUGAUCAUGCCGCGCCUCGAAGAUGGAGAUCAAAAGGCGCAAGAUGAUAUUGGCCAUAUCAUGUCACUUUAUGAUUUGCAUGUGAUGUUUGUCAUGUUUACAUCUUAUUUGCUUAGAACGACGGUAGCAUAAAUAAGAUGAUCCCUCACUAAAAUUUCAAGAGAUGUGUUCCCCCUAACUGUGCACCGUUGCGAAGGUUCGUUGUUUCGAAGCACCACGUGAUGAUCGGGUGUGAUAGAUUCUAACGUUCGCAUACAACGGGUGUAAGCCAGAUUUACACAUGCGAAACACUUAGGUUGACUUGACGAGCCUAGCAUGUACAGACAUGGCCUCGGAACACAAGAGACCGAAAGGUCGAACAUGAGUCAUAUAGUAGAUACGAUCAACAUGGAGAUGUUCACCGUUGAUGACUAGUCCGUCUCACGUGAUGAUCGGACACGGUCUAGUCGAUUAGGAUCAUGUAUCACUUAGAUGACUAGAGGGAUGUCUAUCUAAGUGGGAGUUCAUUAAAUAAUCAGAUGAACUUAAUUAUCAUGAACAUAGUCAAAAGGUGUUUGCAAAUUAUGUCAUAGCUUACGCUUUGGUUCUACUGUUUAAGAUAUGUUCCUAGAGAAAAUUUAGUUAAAAGUUGAUAGUAGCAAUUAUGCGGACUGGGUCCGUAAACUGAGGAUUGUCCUCAAUGCUGCGCAGAAGGCUUAUGUCCUUAAUGCACCGCUCGGUGUGCUGAACCUCAAGCGUUGUCUGUGGAUGUUGCAAACAUCUGACAUACACGUUUUGAUGACUAUGUGAUAGUUCAGUGCGUAAUGCUAACGGUUUAGAAUUGAGGCGCCAAAGACGUUUUUGAAACGUCGCAGAACAUAUGAGAUGUUCCAAAGACUGAAAUUGGGAUUUCAGACUAGUGCCCACGUCAAGAGGUAUGAGACCUCUGACAAGUUUGUUAAGCCUGCAAACUAAGGGAGAAAAGCUCAUUCGUUGAGCAUGUGCUCAGAUUGUCUGAGUACUACAAUCGCUUGAAUCGAGUGGGAGUUAAUCUUCCAGAUGAGAUAGUGAUGGUUCUCCAAAGUUACUGCCACCAAGCUACUAGAGCUUCGUGAUGAACUGUAACAUAUUAGGGAUAGAUAUGAUGAUCCUUGAGCAACUCGCGAUGUUUGACACCGCGAAAGUAGAAAUCAAGUAGGAGCAUCAAUUGUUGAUGGUUAGUAAAACCACUAGUUUCAAGAAGGGCAAGGGAAAGAAGGGAUACUUCAUGAAACGGCAAAUCAGUUGCUGCUCUAGUGAAGAAACCCAAGGUUGAACCCAAACCCGAGACUAAGUGCUUCUGUAAUGAGGGGAACGGUCACUGAAGCAAACUACCCUAGAUACUUGGUAGAUGAGAAGGCAGGCAAGGUCGACAGAAGUAUAUUGGAUAUACAUUAUAUUAAUGUUUACUUUACUAGUACUCCUAGUAGCACCAGGGUAUUAGAUACCGGUUCGGUUGCUAAGUGUUGGUAUCUCGAAAUAAAAGGCUACGGAAUAAACAGAGACUAGCUAAAGGUGAGAUGACGAUAUGUGUUGGAAGUGUUUCCAAGGUUGAUGUAAUCAAACAUCAUACGCUCCCUCUACCAUCGGGAUUGGUAUUAAACCUAAAUAAUUGUUAUUUGGUGUUUGCGUCGAGCAUAGACAUGAUUGGAUUAUGUUUAUCGCAAUACAGUUAUUCAUUUAAGGAGAAUAAUGGUUACUCUGUUUAUUUGAAUAAUACCUUCAAUGGUCUUGCACCUAAAAUGAAUGGUUUAUUGAAUCUCGAUCGUAGUGAUACACAUGUUCAUGCCAAAAGAUAUAAAAUAGUAAUGAUAGUACCACAUACUUGUGGCACUGCUAUUUGAGUCAUAUUGGUAUAAAACGCAUGAAGAAGCUCCAUGUUGAUGGAUCUUUGGACUCACUCAUUUUUGAAAUGAUUGAGACAUGCAAACCAUGUCUAUUGGUAGAUAUGCAUGAAGAAACUCCAUACAGAUGGAUUGUUUGGACUCACUUGAUUUUGAAUCACUUGAGACAUGCAAAUCAUAACACAUGGGCAAGAUGACUGAAAGGCCUCGUUUUCAGUAAGAUGGCACAAGAAAGCAACUUGUUGGAAGUAAUACAUUUUGAUGUGCGCAGUCCAAUGAGUGCUAAGGCAUGCAGUGGAUAUCGUUAUGUUCUUACUUCACAGAUGAUUUGAGUAGAUGCUGAGUAUAUUUACUUGAUGAAACACAAGUCUGAAUUAUUGAAAGGUUCAAGUAAUUUCAGAGUGAAGUUGAAGAUCGUCAUGACAAGAGGAUAAAAUGUCUGUGAUAUGAUCAUAGUGAUGAAUAUCUGAGUUACGAGUUUGGCACUCAAUUAAGACAUUGUGGAAAUUGUUUCACAACUAAUACUUCCUGGAACACCAUAGUGUGAUGGUGUGUCCGAACAUCAUAACUGCACCCUAUUGGAUAUGGUGCAUACCAUGAUGUCUCUUAUCGAAUUACCGCUAUCGUUUAUGGGCUAGGCAUUAGAGACAACCGCAUUCACUUUAAAUAGGGCACCACACAAUUCCGUUGAGACGACACCGUAUGAACUAUGUUUAGAGAAACCUAAGCUGUCGUUUCUUACAAGUUUGGGGCUGCGACGCUUAUGUGAAAAAGUUUCAGGCUCAUAAGCUCGAACCCAAAGCGGAUAAAUGCAUCUUCAUAGAAUACCCAAAACAGUUGGGUAUACCUCCUAUUUCAGAUCUGGAAGCAAAAGUGAUUGUUUCUAGAAACGGGUCCUUUCUCAAGGAAAAGUUUCUCUCGAAAGAAUUGAGUGGGAGGAUGGUGGAGACUUGAUGAGGUUAUUGAACCGUCACUUCAACUAGUGUGUAGCAGGGCACAGGAAGUUGUUCCUAUGGCACCUACACCAAUUGAAGUGGAAGCUUAUGAUAGUGAUCAUGAAACUUCGGAUCAAGUCACUUCCAAACCUCGUAGGUCGACAAGGAUGCGUACUACUUCAGAGUGGUACGUAAUCCUAUCUUGGAAGUCAUGUUGCUAGACAACAAUGAACCUACGAGCUAUGGAUAAGCGAUGGUGGGCCCGGAUUCCGACGAAUGGCACGAGGCCAUAAAAUCCAAGAGAGGAUCCAUGUAUAAAAACAAAGUAUAGACUUUGGAAGAACUACUUGAUGGUCGUAAGGCUGUUGGGAGCAGAUGGAUUUUAAAAGGAAGACAGACAAUGAUGGUAAGUGUCACCAUUAAGAAAGCUCAACUUGUCGUUAAGAUGUUUUCCGACAAGUUCAAGGAGUUGACUGCGAUGAGACUUUCUCACUCGUAGCGAUGCUAAGAGUCUGUUGGAAUUAUAUUUGCAGUUACUGCAUUAUUUAUGAAAUCUUGCAGAUAGGAUGUCAAAACAUUGUUUCCUCGAUGAUUUUCUUGAGGAAAGGUUGUAUGUGAUACAACCAGAAGGUUUUGUCAAUCCUGAAAGAUGCUAACAAGUAUGCAAAGCUCCAACAAUCCUUCUAAGGACUGGAGUAAGCAUCUCGGAGUUGGAAUGUAUGCUUUGAUGAGAUGAUCAAAUAUUUUGUGUUUUUACAAAGUUUAUGAGAAACUUGUAUUUCCAAAGAAGUAAGUGGGAGCACUAUAGAAUUUUUGAUGAGUAUAUGUUGUUAACAUAUUGUUGAUCAGAAAUGAUGUAGAAUUUCUGGAAAGCAUACAGGGUUAUUUGAAAAGUGUUUUUCAAUGGAAACCCUGGAUUAAGCUACUUGAACAUUGAGCAUCAAGAUCUAUAAGGAUAGAUCAAAAACACUUAAUAGUACUUUCAAAUGAAUACAUACCGUGACAGGAUUUUGAAGGAGUUCAAAAUAGAUCAGCAAAGAAGGAGUUCUUGGCUGUGUUACAAGGUGUGAGUCUUGAGUAAGACUCAAGACCUGACCACGGCAGAAGAGAGAGAAAGGACGAAGGUCGUCCCCUAUGAUUUAGACGUAGGCUCUACAGUAUGCUAUGCUGUGUACCGCACUUGAAGUGUGCCUUGCCAUGAGUUAGUCAAGGGGUACAAUAGUGAUCUAGGAAUGGAUCACAUGAAAGCGGUCGAACUUAUCCUUAGUAACUAGUGGACUAAGGAAUUUUCUCGAUUAUGGAGGUGACAAAAGAGGUCGUCGUAAAGGGUUACGUCGAUGCAAACUUUGACACUAAUCUGGAUGACUCGGAGUAGAAAACCAGAUUCGUAUAGUAGAGCAGUUAUUUGGAAUAGCUACAAGUAGUGCGUGGUAGCUGCAUCUACAAGAUGACAUAGAGAUUUGCAAAGCACACACGGAUCUAAAAGGUUCAGACCCGUUGACUAAAAACCUCUCUCGUAAGCAUAAAAUGAUCAAACCCUAGAACUCAAUGAGUGUUAAUCACAUGAUGAUGUGAACUAGAUUAUUGACUCUAGUAAACUCUUGGGUAUUGUUCACAUGGCGAUGUGAACUUUGAGUGUUAAUCACAUGGUGAUGUGAACUAGAUUAUUGACUCUAGUGCAAGUGGGAGACUGUUGGAAAUAUUCCCUAGAGGCAAUAAUAAAAUGGUUAUUAUUGUAUUUCCUUGUUCAUGAUAAUUGUCUAUUGUUCAUGCUAUAAUUGUUUUAACUGGAAACCGUAAUACAUGUGUGAAUACAUAGACCACAACAUGUCCCUAGUGAGCCUCUAGUUGACUAGCUCGUUGAUCAAUAGAUGGUUAUGGUUUCCUUACCAUGGACAUUGGAUGUCAUUGAUAACAGGAUCACAUCAUUAGGAGAAUGAUGUGAUGGACAAGACCCAAUCCUAAGCAUAGCACAAGAUCGUGUAGUUCGUUUGCUAGAGCUUUCCUAAUGUCAAGUAUCGUUUCCUUAGACCAUGAGAUUGCGCAACUCCCGGAUACCGUAGGAAUGCUUUGGGUGUACCAAACGUCACAACGUAACUGGGUGGCUAUAAAGGUGCACUACAGGUAUCUCCGAAAGUGUCUGUUGGGUUGGUACGAAUCGAGACUGGGAUUUGUCACUCCGUAUGACAGAGAGGUAUCUCUGGGCCCACUCGGUAAUGCAUCAUCAUAAUGAGCUCAAUGUGACUAAUGAGUUAGCCACGGGAUCAUGCGUUACGGAACGAGUAAAGAGACUUGCCGGUAACGAGAUUGAACAAGGUAUAGGGAUACCGACGAUCGAAUCUCGGGCAAGUAACAUACCGAUAGACAAAGGGAAUUGUAUACGGGAUUGAUUGAAUCCCCAACAUCGUGGUUCAUCCGAUGAGAUCAUCGUGGAACAUGUGGGAGCCAAUAUGGGUAUCCAGAUCCCGCUAUUGGUUAUUGGCCGGAGAAGUGUCUCGGUCAUGUCUGCAUGGUUCCCGAACCCGUAGGGUCUACACACUUUAGGUUUGGUUAUGCUAGAGUUGUUAUGGGAAAUAGUAUGUGGUUACCGAAGGUUGUUCGGAGUCCCGGAUGAGAUCCCGGACAUGACGAGGAGCUCCGGAAUGGUCCGGAGGUGAAGAUCGGUAUAUUGGACGAAGGGUAUUGGAGUCCAAAAUUGUUCCGCGGGUACCAGGCUAUGGCCAGCAUGUCCGAAAGGGGUUUCGGAGGCCCGGCAAGCGUUGGGGGGCCUUAUAGGCCAAGGGGAAGGGGAAAACCAGCCCACUAAGGGGCUGUGCGCCCCUCCCAACCCCUCUCACGUAACCAGGAGAGGUGGGGGCGCCACCCCUAGGGCAGCCGCCCCUCCCGGCUUUGGGGGCAAGUUUCCUAGGGGGUGGGGGCGCCCAAACCCAUCUAGGGUUUCCCCUGGCCGCCGCCUCCUCCUCUAGAUCCAUCUAGAGGGGCCGGCCCCCUCUCCCCUUCCCCCUAUAUAUAGUGAGGGGGUGGGAGGGCAGCCACAACCCUUUGGCUGGCGCUGCCCUCUCCUCCUCCAACACCUCCUCCUCCUCCGUAGUGCUUAGCGAAGCUCUGCCGGAGAACCACGAGCUCCAUUGCCACCAUGCCGUCGUGCUGCUGGAGUUCUCCCUCAACUUCUCCUCUCCCCUUGUUGGAUCAAGAAGGAUGAGACGUCCCCGGGCUGUACGUGUGUUGAACGCGGAGGCGCCGUCCGUUCGGCGCUAGAUUGGAUCUUCCACGAUUUGAAUCGCCGCGAGUACGACUCCAUCAACCGCGUUCUUGUAAUGCUUCCGCUUAGCGAUCUUCAAGGGUAUGAAGAUGCACUUCCUCUCUCUCGUUGCUAGCAUCUCCUAGAUUGAUCUUGGUGACACGUAGGAAAAUUUUGAAUUAUUGCUACGUUCCCCAACAGUGGCAUCAUGAGCUAGGUCUAUGCGUAGAUUCUAUGCACGAGUAGAACACAAAGUAGUUGUGGGCGAUGAUUUGUUCAAUUUGCUUGCCGUUACUAGUCUUAUCUUGAUUCGGCGGCAUUGUGGGAUUUAGCGGCCCGGACCGACCUUACACGUACUCUUACGUGAGACAGGUUCCACCGACUGACAUGCACUUGAUGCAUAAGGUGGCUAGCGGGUGUCUGUCUCUCCCACUUUAGUCGGAUGGGAUUCGAUGAAGAGGGUCCUUAUGAAGGGUAAAUAGCAAUUGGCAUAUCACCGUUGUGGCUUUUGCGUAGGUAAGAAACGUUCUUGCUAGAAACCCAUAGCAGCCACGUAAAACAUGCAACAACAAUUAGAGGACGUCUAACUUGUUUUUGCAGGGUAUGCUAUGUGAUGUGAUAUGGCCAAAAGGAUGUGAUGAAUUAUAUAUAUGUGAUGUAUGAGAUUGAUCAUGUUCUUGUAAUAGGAAUCACGACUUGCAUGUCGAUGAGUAUGACAACCGGCAGGAGCCAUAGGAGUUGUCUUAAUUUAUUGUAUGACCUGCGUGUCAAUGAAAAACGCCAUGUAAUUACUUUACUUUAUUGCUAACCGUUAGCCAUAGUAGUAGAAGUAAUAGUUGGCGAGACAACUUCAUGAAGACAUGAUGAUGGAGAUCAUGGUGUCAUGCCGGUGACGAAGGUGAUCAUGCCGCGCCUCGAAGAUGGAGAUCAAAAGGCGCAAGAUGAUAUUGGCCAUAUCAUGUCACUUUAUGAUUUGCAUGUGAUGUUUGUCAUGUUUACAUCUUAUUUGCUUAGAACGACGGUAGCAUAAAUAAGAUGAUCCCUCACUAAAAUUUCAAGAGAUGUGUUCCCCCUAACUGUGCACCGUUGUGAAGGUUCGUUGUUUUGAAGCACCACGUGAUGAUCGGGUGUGAUAGAUUCUAACGUUCGCAUACAACGGGUGUAAGCCAGAUUUACACAUGCGAAACACUUAGGUUGACUUGACGAGCCUAGCAUGUACAGACAUGGCCUCGGAACACAAGAGACCGAAAGGUCGAACAUGAGUCGUAUAGUAGAUACGAUCAACAUGGAGAUGUUCACCGUUGAUGACUAGUCCGUCUCACGUGAUGAUCGGACACGGUCUAGUCGAUUCGGAUCAUGUAUCACUUAGAUGACUAGAGGGAUGUCUAUCUAAGUGGGAGUUCAUUAAAUAAUCAGAUGAACUUAAUUAUCAUGAACAUAGUCAAAAGGUGUUUGCAAAUUAUGUCAUAGCUUACGCUUUGGUUCUACUGUUUAAGAUAUGUUCCUAGAGAAAAUUUAGUUGAAAGUUGAUAGUAGCAAUUAUGCGGACUGGGUCCGUAAACUGAGGAUUGUCCUCAAUGCUGCGCAGAAGGCUUAUGUCCUUAAUGCACCGCUCGGUGUGCUGAACCUCAAGCGUUGUCUGUGGAUGUUGCGAACAUCUGACAUACACGUUUUGAUGACUACGUGAUAGUUCAGUGCGUAAUGCUAACGGUUUAGAAUUGAGGCGCCAAAGACGUUUUUGAAACGUCGCAGAACAUAUGAGAUGUUCCAAAGACUGAAAUUGGGAUUUCAGACUAGUGCCCACGUCAAGAGGUAUGAGACCUCUGACAAGUUUCUUAAGCCUGCAAACUAAGGGAGAAAAGCUCAUUCGUUGAGCAUGUGCUCAGAUUGUCUGAGUACUACAAUCGCUUGAAUCGAGUGGGAGUUAAUCUUCCAGAUGAGAUAGUGAUGGUUCUCCAAAGUUACUGCCACCAAGCUACUAGAGCUUCGUGAUGAACUGUAACAUAUUAGGGAUAGAUAUGAUGAUCCUUGAGCAACUCGCGAUGUUUGACACCGCGAAAGUAGAAAUCAAGUAGGAGCAUCAAUUGUUGAUGGUUAGUAAAACCACUAGUUUCAAGAAGGGCAAGGGAAAGAAGGGAUACUUCAUGAAACGGCAAAUCAGUUGCUGCUCUAGUGAAGAAACCCAAGGUUGAACCCAAACCCGAGACUAAGUGCUUCUGUAAUGAGGGGAACGGUCACUGAAGCAAACUACCCUAGAUACUUGGUAGAUGAGAAGGCAGGCAAGGUCGACAGAAGUAUAUUGGAUAUACAUUAUAUUAAUGUUUACUUUACUAGUACUCCUAGUAGCACCAGGGUAUUAGAUACCGGUUCGGUUGCUAAGUGUUGGUAUCUCGAAAUAAAAGGCUACGGAAUAAACAGAGACUAGCUAAAGGUGAGAUGACGAUAUGUGUUGGAAGUGUUUCCAAGGUUGAUGUAAUCAAACAUCAUACGCUCCCUCUACCAUCGGGAUUGGUAUUAAACCUAAAUAAUUGUUAUUUGGUGUUUGCGUCGAGCAUAGACAUGAUUGGAUUAUGUUUAUCACAAUACAGUUAUUCAUUUAAGGAGAAUAAUGGUUACUCUGUUUAUUUGAAUAAUACCUUCAAUGGUCUUGCACCUAAAAUGAAUGGUUUAUUGAAUCUCGAUCGUAGUGAUACACAUGUUCAUGCCAAAAGAUAUAAAAUAGUAAUGAUAGUACCACAUACUUGUGGCACUGCCAUUUGAGUCAUAUUGGUAUAAAACGCAUGAAGAAGCGCCAUGUUGAUGGAUCUUUGGACUCACUCAUUUUUGAAAAGAUCGAGACAUGCAAACCAUGUCUAUUGGUAGAUAUGCAUGAAGAAACUCCAUACAGAUGGAUCGUUUGGACUCACUUGAUUUUGAAUCACUUGAGACAUGCAAAUCAUAACACAUGGGCAAGAUGACUGAAAGGCCUCGUUUUCAGUAAGAUGGCACAAGAAAGCAACUUGUUGGAAGUAAUACAUUUUGAUGUGCGCAGUCCAAUGAGUGCUGAGGCAUGCAGUGGAUAUCGUUAUGUUCUUACUUCACAGAUGAUGUAGCGACCCGACCCAAAUGGAUCAAGUCUCUGUGCUUAAGUGUCAUCCCUGGAUCGGUAUGCUGACACACACAGUACUUGAGGAUUUAUAACAGAGGUAAAUCACAUGUAUAAAAUAACGUAAAUACUAUUACCUCAAUCCAAAUAGCGGAAGUAACAGGGUUGUGGAUUCCCAUCAACACCAACGGCAAAGUUGAGUGUAGAAAUCGUAACCCUAACGUAUCACUUACUCGUCGUAAGAAUCCUGCAACAUGAAACGUUGCAGCCCGAAAACGGGUCAGCACAUGGAAUAUGCUGGCAAAUUCACACCAUAGAGAAAUGUUGAACAAAGGCUAUCACUACAUGCAUAUAUGGCUGGUGGAAAAGCUCUAUUGUUAUAAUGUUUUUGCGAAAAGCCAAUUUUUCCCUACUUCAAAGGAAUAAACUUUAUUUAACUAUCAUGGUGGUUGUGAAACAUUGAGAUGGUUGACAGCAUCUCAAUCCCAAUUAAGUAACAUAAUUAACCCAACAAUAUUGAUUAAAGUAACAUGUUGAGAUCAACGGGAUAAUCCAAGAACUAGAUACUCAAGAUGUCCAUAACCGGGGACACGGCUAACCAUGAUUAGUUUGUACACUCUGCAGAGGUUUGCGCACUUUUCCCCACAAGACUCGAUCGCCUCCGCUUGAUUCUCGCACUGCAUGAUGUUUGAGAAACGGAUGACCGAGACACAGUCUUUCCGAAGAGGUCCCCUUAACCGAUAGAUAGGCCGGUACACCUACAAUCCCCUACAUCUGCUAGCCCAUCAUGGAAAGGUUUCCCACAACUUACUCAACUAUGCUAGAGCCCAUAAUAGCUUGUGGCUGCACACGGAAGUUUCUAGCAUGAAUAAUCUUAUGAUUCCUUUGAGCCUGGGUGGCGGUCCUUAUACAAACAGACAACACUGGGUUCUCCAGGUGCCUCAAUCCACCCAGAUGUGAGUUUUAGUUUCCACCUUAGGUAAACCAUUAUUAUCAAUCUCACAUCUGUCAUGAAUAUCUCUCAAACCCAAUCCACAUCUACGAGCAUAGCAUGGCAAUAUAAUAGCAACGUAGAAGUAACUCCCAAGGGUUUGAUAAUAAACAGGGCAAUAGGUACUACCUCAUCAACUACUUCCCAAUACCCACAUGUUAUCAAUCCUACUCAUGCAAUGUUCGAGGGUUGAAUCUAAUGCAUAAAAACUAGGUAUGAAAGGGAUAUGAUCAAAGUGUGAACUUGCCUGCAAUGUUGAUGAAGAUGAUUCGCACUCAAAACUCUUGAUAGAUCUACUCGUCACACUCCGGUCAAUCUAUCGUAAGCAAGCAAUGGUAACCACACAUAAGCAAUCACUCAAAAGAUCAGAAAGAACGAGGAAAACAAUUCGGAAAACUUCAAAACCAAGCAAUUAACUCUUGCAACAUAAAACAAUUUCUAACAGUACCAAAAUUAUGUGAAUUUGGCCUUAUCAGAAAGUUUAGGUCAAGAGCUUUGGUUUGCAAAAAGAAUCAACUCGAACGGAGUUAUAAAACUCAAGUUAUGAUCAAACGAAGUUUGAAUUCAAAUCUGAUCUAAUUCAAAUUUUAAAACUUUCAAAAACAUGUUUAAGUUGUUUUACUGGAUAGAGGGGAUCAUAACGAAGACGUGGGCGUUGGUUUCGUUGGAUUUGGACAAACGAGUGAAAAGUAGUGAUCGUUUGAAAAUCAGGGACUAAUCUGUAAAUAAAAUAACUACAACUAGGUCCCUGGCGAAAAUAACAGGAAAAAGAAAAAGCUAAAUAGCGAACGUGCGUUAACUAGUUCUAAACAGUGGACGUUCGUUGUUUAGAAAAACCUAAAUAUAACAGAUCUAGUCCAGGGUUUUUUUAACAAAACCAAAACGAAUAAAAAAAAUAAACCGGGGCGGUUCACGGUUUAUACCGGUUCGCGGCGGUCCGGCGGCGGACCGGGUCGGCGGUGGCGGGGUUCGCCGGCGUCAGAGAAGGGCGGCGGCAGCUCGGGCUCGACCGGAGCGGCGGCUCUGGUNNNNNNNNNNNNNNNNNNNNNNNNNNNNNNNNNNNNNNNNNNNNNNNNNNNNNNNNNNNNNNNNNNNNNNNNNNNNNNNNNNNNNNNNNNNNNNNNNNNNNNNNNNNNNNNNNNNNNNNNNNNNNNNNNNNNNNNNNNNNNNNNNNNNNNNNNNNNNNNNNNNNNNNNNNNNNNNNNNNNNNNNNNNNNNNNNNNNNNNNNNNNNNNNNNNNNNNNNNNNNNNNNNNNNNNNNNNNNNNNNNNNNNNNNNNNNNNNNNNNNNGGGCAGAGGAGUCCGAGGCGGGGACGUGGCCAUGGCGGCGCGGCGGCGUGCGGGAGGCGGAGUCCCGCCCGGGAGGUGGGGGACGCGCGGGCGUCGGGCUGGGCCGUGGCCUGGCUGGGUGCUGGGCCGGCCCAGUUCGGCGGAGGGUUUUUUUUUAUAAACAGAGAAAGAAAUAAUAAAAACAAAGAAAAUGAAAAUAUUAUAUAGGCAUAUAAUAUAUCAAAAUUUUCAGAAAAAGAUUUCCAACAACAUGGACAUUUUUACAACGCCAAAUAAAAUUCACACAAAUUUAAAUAAAUCAAACAGUGCUGCUGCCUUAAUAAAAUCCAAUAAAAAUCAUUUUAAAAAUACCAAAAUGAUUUCAAAUUUAUUUUUCUCCAAUUUUCUGAUGUAGGGAAUCAUUUUACCCUAAUUUCUGAAUAUUUUAUUUUUGGAGAAAAAUAAUUUGAAUAAAACUCAAAUAACCCCAAUAUUGAAAAAUAAUUUCAAUGGGACUUUGAUUUUAAUCCUUUGAGACUCCCAACUCAUAUUUCAUUUGUUUUGAAGAAGUCAUUUUAUCUUCUCUCGUGAAAAUCAUUGAGUUGCAUAAAGUUUCAGAAAUGGGAAAUAUUUUCAAAUGAAAUUCAAAUAUUUUCUACACCCCUUGUCAUUUAAAUAAAUGGAAGAAGUCAUGUCAUCUUCUCUCCAGGGUGUUGUGGUGAAAAGAAUUUGAAUUCAUGGAGAUCAUAAAAGCAAAAUGAAAGUUUGGGAAAGUCCUUUUAUCCCCUCUCAUUUAACUUUCAAAAGAUCUCGAAUUCCACUCACUUUCAGUUAAUCAAUCAAACAAUCAACCCAAUAUAUCUGUUUAUUAUAACAUUCCAAAAUUUAGAAUUUUGGGAUGUUACAGAUGAUUUGAGUAGAUGCUGAGUAUAUUUACUUGAUGAAACACAAGUCUGAAUUAUUGAAAGGUUCAAGUAAUUUCAGAGUGAAGUUGAAGAUCGUCGUGACAAAAGGAUAAAAUGUCUGUGAUAAGAUCAUAGAGAUGAAUAUCUGAGUUACGAGUUUGGCACACAAUUAAUACAUUGUGGAAAUUGUUUCACAACUAAUACUGCCUGGAACACCAUAGUGUGAUGGUGUGUCCGAACAUCAUAACUGCACCCUAUUGGAUAUGGUGCAUACCAUGAUGUCUCUUAUCGAAUUAUCGCUAUCGUUUAUGGGCUAGGCAUUAGAGGCAACCGCAUUCACUUUAAAUAGGGCACCACGCAAUUCCGUUGAGACGACACCGUAUGAACUAUGGUUUAGAGAAACCUAAGCUGUCGUUUCUUACAAGUUUGGGGCUGCGAUGCUUAUGUGAAAAAGUUUCAGGCUGAUAAGCUCAAACCCAAAGCGGAUAAAUGCAUCUUCGUAGAAUACCCAAAACAGUUGGGUAUACCUCCUAUUUCAGAUCUGGAAGCAAAAGUGAUUGUUUCUAGAAACGGGUCCUUUCUCGAGGAAAAGUUUCUCUCGAAAGAAUUGAGUGGGAGGAUGGUGGAGACUUGAUGAGGUUAUUGAACCGUCACUUCAACUAGUGUGUAGCAGGGCACAGGAAGUUGUUCCAUUGGCACCUACACCAAUUGAAGUGGAAGCUUAUGAUAGUGAUCAUGAAACUUCGGAUCAAGUCACUUCCAAACCUCGUAGGUCAACAAGGAUGCGUACUACUUCAGAGUGGUACGUAAUCCUAUCUUGGAAGUCAUGUUGCUAGACAACAAUGAACCUACGAGUUAUGGAGAAGCGAUGGUGGGCCCGGAUUCCGACGAAUGGCACGAGGCCAUAAAAUCCGAGAGAGGAUCCAUGUAUAAAAACAAAGUAUAGACUUUGGAAGAACUACUUGAUGGUCGUAAGGCUGUUGGGAGCAGAUGGAUUUUAAAAGGAAGACAGACAAUGAUGGUAAGUGUCACCAUUAAGAAAGCUCGACUUGUCGUUAAGAUGUUUUCCGACAAGUUCAAGGAGUUGACUGCGAUGAGACUUUCUCACUUGUAGCGAUGCUAAGAGUCUGUUGGAAUUAUAUUAGCAGUUACUGCAUUAUUUAUGAAAUCUUGCAGAUAGGAUGUCAAAACAUUGUUUCCUCGACGAUGUUCUUGAGGAAAGGUUGUAUGUGAUACAACCAGAAGGUUUUGUCAAUCCUGAAAGAUGCUAACAAGUAUGCAAAGCUCCAGCAAUCCUUCUAAGGACUGGAGUAAGCAUCUCGGAGUUGGAAUGUACGCUUUGAUGAGAUGAUCAAAGAUUUUGGGUUUUUACAAAGUUUAUGAGAAACUUGUAUUUCCAAAGAAGUGAGUGGGAGCACUAUAGAAUUUUUGAUGAGUAUAUGUUGUUAACAUAUUGUUGAUCAGAAAUGAUGUAGAAUUUCUGGAAAGCAUACAGGGUUAUUUGAAAAGUGUUUUUCAAUGGAAACCCUGGAUUAAGCUACUUGAACAUUGAGAUCAAGAUCUAUAAGGAUAGAUCAAAAAUACUUAAUAGUACUUUCAAAUGAAUACAUACCGUGACAAGAUUUUGAAGGAGUUCAAAAUAGAUCAGCAAAGAAGGAGUUCUUGGCUGUGUUACAAGGUGUGAGUCUUGAGUAAGACUCAAGACCUGACCACGGCAGAAGGGAGAGAAAGGACGAAGGUCGUCCCCUAUGCUUUAGACGUAGGCUCUACAGUAUGCUAUGCUGUGUACCGCACCUGAAGUGUGCCUUGCCAUGAGUUAGUCAAGGGGUACAAUAGUGAUCCAGGAAUGGAUCACAUGACAGCGGUCGAACUUAUCCUUAGUAACUAGUGGACUAAGGAAUUUUCUCGAUUAUGGAGGUGGUAAAAGAGUUCAUCGUAAAGGGUUACGUCGAUGCAAACUUUGACACUAAUCUGGAUGACUCGGAGUAGAAAACCGGAUUCGUAUAGUAGAGCACUUAUUUGGAAUAGCUCCAAGUAGUGCGUGGUAGCUGCAUCUACAAGAUGACAUAGAGAUUUGUAAAGCACACACGGAUCUGAAAGGUUCAGACCCGUUGACUAAAAACCUCUCUCGUAAGCAUAACAUGAUCAAACCCUAGAACUCACUGACUGUUAAUCACAUGGUGAUGUGAACUAGAAACUGCAAUGGAACCUUCCUUGGAGCAUCAGCUGUUGUGUUCGAUGGACUCUCUGAUCCAGCCAGUUUGGAAGCGUGGGCAUGCAAUGAGGCUUUGGCCUUGGGCCAGGACUUGCAUGUUAAGCGACUUCUAAUCGCCUCUGAUUGUGCCGAAGUAAUCACCAAUAUGAGCCGAGACACAGCUUUAGUUUAUGCGCCAAUUCUGCAUGAGAUAGCUAUUCGCAGAAGGAAUUUUGAGCAUGUUCUCUUUCGUCAUGAACCGAGGGAAUGUAUUAGUGAGGCUCAUAGAUUAGCUAAGGCCGCGUCGACUCUUGACGUGGGCCGCCAUGUGUGGCUAGGGAGUGUCCCGGACAUUAUUUGUAUUCCAAACUCUUUGAACUUUGAAUAAAUCCCUAGUUACACCUCAAAAAAAAAAUAUGGAAAAUCCAAUAUCUCUUCUCUUUCCGUUGGCACCGCUGCCUGUCCGUCCCAUCUCCGAUGGCCUCUAGGCCAUGGAGGUGCGGAGGAUCCNNNNNNNNNNNNNNNNNNNNNNNNNNNNNNNNNNNNNNNNNNNNNNNNNNNNNNNNNNNNNNNNNNNNNNNNNNNNNNNNNNNNNNNNNNNNNNNNNNNNNNNNNNNNNNNNNNNNNNNNNNNNNNNNNNNNNNNNNNNNNNNNNNNNNNNNNNNNNNNNNNNNNNNNNNNNNNNNNNNNNNNNNNNNNNNNNNNNNNNNNNNNNNNNNNNNNNNNNNNNNNNNNNNNNNNNNNNNNNNNNNNNNNNNNNNNNNNNNGGGAGGGAUCUCGUUCUCGUUCUUGUUAGAGUCAGGUCUUGGUUGGGUCUGUGUGGGGGUAGCGAUGUCCCUUAGUAGGAAUAAUGUCUUCCAUGUUCUACCCCCGUCCUGAUGGUGCGUCUAGCAUCGUCAGAGGGCGUGUGGAGGUUUGUCUCCGUCCGACCUUGCGGGAUUCGGUCGGUGCUGGACUUCUAUGGAUCUAUUUGGAUCCGGUCUUCGUUCGUCUUCGUUUAGGUGUUUACAGGUUUGAUCCUUCUGAUCUACAACUUCCUUCAUCGGCGAUGGUUGCUACUCUGGUGUGCCGGUCCUAUGGGGUCUUAGCACAACGACUUCCCGACUGUCUACUACAACAAGGUUUGCCCGGCUCCGGUGAGGGAGGCGCGAUGAUGGCGGCGCGUCUUCGGCUUGCUUCAGUGCUUGGAGUCGUCGCCAGGUGGUUCACGGACAUGGUUGUAAUUUUUAUUACCUUUGUUGUUUGUUGUACUGCCAUGAUUAAAGAUGAAUAGAUUGAAAGUUUCUAAAAGAAAGACAAACAGAGGGCCUAAUGUCUUGGAGAUCCAUAUGUCCAAUCUAAACAUCGCCCAUCAUGGAUUACCACUGCCACCAUGGCACCACCGAAGAAAGACGUGAGCAACCUUCACACCCAAAUCUAGAAGAACUCCAUUGCAGACCACACUGCUUUGUGAACCGAUUAAAGGGCCCGCCGGAGACGACAAAACCGAGUGUUUGUGGCACGUCAGUCGGGGAUCAUCCCCAAGUCUGCCAGAUCUUGACGACGUCAUCUUCAUCCAAAGUGACCGGAGAAGAAAAAUGUCGCCACAAGCCGCCAUCCGCGCACCACGCUCCAAGACAUGCACAUACUCUGCACCAGCCGACGCUGUCGCCCGAGAAGACCCUAAGCACCAGCCACCACAAGCUAACAUCAUCAAAACUAAAGUCCGACGAGACACAGAGGCUACCUGUUUCCGGCGCUGCCGAUUGAAGCAUCACUAGGGUGGGGAAAAAGCAGAGCCAGCUUAUUCCGACGCGGUGUUGAUUCCACCACCAAUGCAACACCUCCGAGAAAAACUAAGCCUAUCCUAUCUAGUAGCCUUAACGAAGUUGCCGGGGUCCCCAGUCCCUCAGGCCACCGGAGUGGCAGUCGCAGGGGCUGAGGACCUGCAACCACGCCGAUGAAGAAAGGCGGCAGAGAAGGUCGCCUCUUGAUCGCCUAUGCGAGGCAGUACACGAGCGAAAAUUUUAAAAAAUCCUUAUCUUUGAGAAUUAAGUUUACCGUGACCCAUAGAUCUCAGAAUAUGUUUUACAUCUCACACUAAAUAUAAUCAAGGCAUCUUAUAAGUUCAACCAUAGAAUCCCAAAACACCAAAAAUGCGGACCUAGUCUUGGCCGAACCUCUCAAGUCGUAUGUUCUAUCUUCACCCCCAUAUAUUUUGGUGUUUUGGGAUUAAUGUAUUUUGUUUUUUAAACACUCUCAUAUAUUAAUUAAUUAAAAUUGUUACCACAGUCACUCAUUACAGCAUACGCCACACAAGGCGGAAAAGUAUUAAUAAUGACCCCACCCGUACUAUUAUCAAAACUAAACUCCGCCAAUCCUACGCGCCAUUUUAUCGGUCCGUCGAUUAAUUUUAUACACUUUAAAUCCUUUGAAAAGCUUGGAUAUGCUCGGUGUCUCCUUUAGAUCAACGAAUGGGAACCUGAUAAGUUUAUCAUUUGAAAGAGAAGAAGCCGGAAUAGAGCAACCAGUCUCCAAAAUGAUAGGUUUAUGAAGAGUACACCAAUAUAGGGACCGGCAAGGCAGACAUGCAAUUCCACUUCUACAACACUGGUGGAAAGUACAAAAAAAAAUCCCACGACGAUAUGAUGCCCUCUCCACAUGAGUCUGUGGCACUUCCCUUUGUGGUUGGCCAUCACAUCAUCAUUUGGUCGACAAGACAAAAAUACGACCAAUAUUUUUUUACAAAAGGUGCAAAGGCCGAGACAGAAUCCUUCCUUAGCAAAAAUUAAAUCAUCUCUUAAAUUCCAAGGUCUCCAGAAAAUGAACAUGAUUUGCUCACGUUGCGGCGAACUAAACUGAUCUAGUAGAACAAGCAACCAGUCCCGUACCGUAUCCUCGAAGAUCUCUUCCCUAGGGAUAUUCCAAGUCUUCUCUCAUAGCCAUACCUAGGGCCCUAGCCUUAGGGCAAUUGACUAGAGCAGGAAAGGUGCUCUCAUCUUCCACACCACAAAUAGAACACAUACAUAGAAGAGCUUGAUGGUGCGUAACUCCGUUAACUUGGACCGCCAAGUUGUUAGUCAUGGCUCGCCUGGCCAAUAUUUUGAUCAUCUAGGGAACAUUGACCUUCCAAAUAGUAUUCCAAAGCCUCCUUUCCCCAUUCUCGACAUCACUAGAUUGCCCUAAAUCUUCGUUGCAUCCUUCAAGUUCAGCACUUCUCAACGUGCUAGGCAAUAAAACCGCCAUCCCCCGACGAUUGAUUACACAUCUUUAGGAUCUCCUCCACAUCAUGCGGAUAAAACAGGAGCCGGAUCAAAUUCUCAUUCAUUCUCCUUGCAGAAAACUUUAGGCAAGAAAUCCUGGAAAGCCGCUUAUCUCUUCAAAUACUACCCUCCAAAUCAAGCUCUCAAGAAAAUAAAUCGAGCGAAAGCUUCGUGCUUCGGUGCCGGUGGAGGCGACAUCCGUGGUUGCCGCUUUCCUCUUGAGGAAGUCGCCGUGGGUCUCUUCCCAAGGCCAGGGCACCGGGUGAAAACCUUGGUCAAUGGACUCGAGCAUGACCCUUUUGGAGGCGUUGUUGUGGAGCUCAGAUGCCGGCGGUCAGACCCUACGGUCGGAUUCAGGCCAAUGUGUGCUCUCGUCGGACAACGUCUUCGUGUCGUUUUUUUGGGGUUCAAUUUCGCUUGUCCUGUUUUAUUUUGAUCCACUUUGUUUGAGGGUCACCUUACUACCUUGUAUCAUUUGACCGUGUACCAUGUUCGUUGUUUUAUAAAUAAAACGGGACGAAAGGCUAUUUGAAAGAGUAACCACGCAAAAUAGUUAGUGUCGUUUCAAAUUUACGUUGGAGUAAAGGUGGCUGGACAAGCAUACAAUUGUUGUGUACAAGAAGAGCUAGCCAUGCAUGCAGCUGCUGUGUACGAAGAAGAAGAAGAACAGCAUGAAGAGGAGGAGAAAAUACAUCUGAGUACAAGAAAAACCCAACCUCACGUACUCAUGUGCUAGCACACGACACACAUGAACAAUAUUUGCAAAUUUACAAAUGUGCACUUCUCCGUACUACAUGCAUCUCGAUACAACAAGCUGCUUUGUGGUUAUAGUCUAAGCUCGUACACGGAUAGUGUCGGGGGAUGAACCCCAGGCAGGCAACGGAACCCGGAUUCUUUUUUAAAAACAACGGGCCAGCAUUGCCCCUCGAUCCGGUUCGCGCUUGGCCGGGUCGCUCAACCCGGCCAAGCUCUCCAACCCGGCCGGACUCCUCGACUCGGCCCCAAAAACCAAGCUCCAGACUUCCCCAACAAGCCAGCACCGCCCUUGGCGUGUUCUCCAAACCCGGCCAAGGGUCAGCGGCCGUCCCAUCCCAGCCGUAUGAUGGGACGAGUCUCCACCAACUGAUGACCGAAGCCACAGUGCCCCGCCCAUGCCUCUGGUCAGCCGAACGAGGCAACAGUGCCCCCCACCUACCCGCUGACCAGGAUUGGCGUGGCAACAGUGCGCCCGGCAUCACCCAUGACGCCAGCAAGCGGCGACCUGACGGAGCGCCACUGUAGCCGACUCGACUCGGCCACGCCCUGACAACCGACAAGACGACACACUGUGCCCCUAGGCGCAUGGGGCCUGCGCUCGGGGAACCCGGCGAGCCCUGGUACCCGGCGGGCCCCAGCACCGGGUUCCUGGACGCUGACAACCCGGCCCUACGGCCUUGUAACAUUACCUUUGUACCCCUGGGGGGUUGACCUAUAAAACCCCCCAGGAGCCCUCAUGCAUACGGGCAAGAAAGCGAUACCACACACCCAUCCACCCACUCACACGUCUAGCAAGCAACACCCGAGGAGAGGAAGCAGCCUAAGCCUUGGCCCGACCUCCUUCUUCCUCCAUACAGCUCUAGGAGCAACUCUGUACUGUUGCAUAUAAAGGCAGGACUAGGGGUGUUAUCUUUCCGGAGAGCCCCGAACCUGGAUAUGUCUUGCGUCCCGCGCUCGCUCAUGCCGACCUCGCCUCUCGAGCCACCAGUGCCCUUGAGCCUCCUCCUAUAUUUAGCCAUCCCUUGGCAUCUGCCGUGCGCCCACCACGACAGUUGGCGCCCACCAUGGGGCAGCUCGAGGUCCUGGCCGGGAGCACGCUUCAGACGGGGAUCUUCUCCGACUCCAACGAGCCCGUCACGCUGACGGACGACGUCAUCGACGCGCUCGCCGCCUCCUUCGCCACGCGCAUCUCCGACGCGCCUACGGACGACGAGUACCCCGCGAGGUACUUAGCUUUUCCGACUCUCCGCUCUCCGUCAACGACAACGCUCCCGCCGGAGCGAUGGACCUCUGCGUGGAGGUUUUCGUCACCUACACCAGCGCCUUCUCCUCGUCAAGCGCGGCAAGGAAGGCCGCCGAAGCUAAGGCCGAGGCGGAUAGGGCCGGCUCGCCCAACCCGCUGCGCGCCACGAUGCAGAGCCUCCGCGUUUCCAUCGGCACCAACAUCGACGCCUCCAACAUCGCCGAGGCCCGGACUCGUCUCAACGAGGAUCGCCAGCGCCUGCUGGACCUCACCGAGACACUCGCCGCCACGCAGCGUCGCCUCGACUAGGCCCAGCUGGAGCGCGACGCCGCCUACGGCUUCACGCCUACCGCCCCCGAGCCAAGCCGGGUCGCCGAUGUGCGAGCCCGGGGUGGCGUGAUCGGGCGCGCCUUCGACGCCCCCCCUCCCGUCUACGAGACUCCCGUGAAGAACAUGCGUGCUGCCCAGGCGGCCGCGGUCGGCCUGGAUCAGCUCGCGGGCGAGGAGCUGCAGGAUCGCCUCAAGAGGGUGAACGACCUCCUCGUCACGGCCAACGCGCAAAAGGACUGCCUCAACCAGCUCGCCAAGCCGGCCGGAUCCGGCUCCAUCCGAUUCGCUGGACCCGGCGACAACCAGCACACGGCGUCUUCUCCACCCGGCGAAGCGCACUCCGGCCGCACUCGGACCCGGCGCAACCCCUCCCCGACGGCUGCUGGCGGCUUGGCGGACGAGCCGGCCUCAGAGGCCCGGCGCCGCCUCGACCCCCUGCUCCAACCCGACCGACGUCCGACUGCGAUCGACCCGGCCCCCGCGGCGCGGUCACCGACCGGCUGGGCCCGCGCGCCAUCGACGACACUGACGCCCGUCACCGCCUCGACCGACUCGCUCUCUCCCAGGAGCUGGAGGAAACCGGCCCGGUCGGGCUGGCUUGCUUCGGGCCACGCAUCCGAGGCGAGCCCUUCACCAAAGGGUUCACGCUCCCCCGCGACACCCCCAAGUACAACGGCACCGUGAAGCCGGAGGACUGGCUCACCGACUACACAACCGCCAUCGGCAUCGCCGGCGGUAACCACCGCCUCGCCAUACGCUACGCACCCCUCAUGCUCCAGGGGUCGGCCCGCACCUGGUUGAACAGUCUGUCGGCUGGCAGCAUCAACACAUGGGUCGACUUCGAGCAAGCCUUCGUGCGCAACUUCACCGGCAGCUACAAGCGACCCGGCCGUGCCAGUCAGCUCACCAUGGGCGUGCAGGGGCCGGCGAAAACCGGCCGCGAGUACCUCACACGCUGGACCGAGCUCCGGAACAGCUGCGAGGUCGUCCACGAAGUCCAAGCGAUCCAGUACUUUGUCAACGGGUGCCGAGACGGCACCCUCCUCAAGCACAAACUCUUGCGCUUCGAGCCGGCCACCAUGGCCGCGCUCAUGGUAACGGCGGACAAGUACGCCAACGCCGACUCCGCCAUGAAGAUCCAGGUGGCACUGGAUGAAGCCGGCAAGUCAAAGCCGGUGCCGCCUCCGAAGCCGGCCGGCGAGGGAAGCCGACAGCAGCACAACCAGCAGAACAACAAGCGCAAAGCCGAUCAACCGGCUCAGCGCUACGACAACCGGCUCGUCGCGGCCGCCGAGCAGGCGCCCGCGGCCGACCCGGCCACCAAACGCCGGAACACCGGUAUGACGACAUGGCAGCCCGCCAUGAGCUUCGAGGAGAUGCUUGACGCUCCCUGCAAGCACCCCAGCGGCGCGAGGCCGUCCACGCACAUGCUCCGACAGUGCGCCGUCACCAAGUGCAUCGCGAGGGGCGACAUCCCGCCUCCUCCGGCUCCGGCUCCGGGAGCAGGGCAGCCGCCUCCGCCUCCGCCACCGCCACCGGCUGGCGGCGCGAUGCGCGACGACCCCUACCCGGCCCAAAACGCGACUUACGUCGUCUUCACCAGCCUCGGCAAUGACAAGCGCAGCGAACGCCUCCAUCGGCAGGAGGUGAACACCGUCAUCCCGGCCAAGACGGAAUACAUGCAUUGGUCGGAACGCCCGGUCACCUGGACCCGGGAGGACCACCCGGCCGUCAUGCCGAACCCGGGUGGUUACGCCCUCAUCCUCGACCCUACUAUUGUCGCGCCCCGGCACACGUGCAAGUUCUCCCAAGUUCUCGUCGACAGCGGCAGCAACAUCAACAUCCUCUACCGCGACACCAUGACCAAGCUCGGCCUCUAGGCCAAGGACUUGGAGCCGACCCAGACAAUCUUCCACGGCAUCGUUCCCGGCCUCUCCUGCUCCCCGAUAGGCCGGAUCCGGCUCGACGUCCUGUUCGGCGACAUCAGCCACUUCCAACGCGAGCCAAUCUGGUUCGAGGUGGUGGACCUGUCCAGCGCGUACCACGCGCUGCUGGGCCGGCCCGCGCUCGCCAAGUUCAUGGCGGUCCCCCACUACGCCUACCUGAAGAUGAAGCUGCUGGGUCCAAAGGGCCUCAUCACCGUCACUGGCGACUACCGCAAGUCCCUGGACUGCGCCCGAGACGGCGCCAAGCUAGCCGAGUCGCUGUCAUAGCCAAGGAGCGGCGCCAACUCGACCGGAUCGUCGCCCUGGCCCAAGAAGCGUUAGUCGCGUAGAUCCCGACUGAGGAGCCGGCCGAUGAGGCCGCGUUCAAGCCCUCCAAGGAGACCAAGAAGGUGAAGCUAAACCCGGAAGACCCCAGCUGCAGCAAGUACGUUGUCGUGGGCACCCGCCUCGACAGCAAAUAGGAAGGCGAGCUCGUCGACUUCCUCCGUGAGAAUCGCACUACAAAAAAAAGAAACUGCCGUGAUGAUACGUGUUUGUCACAGUAGGUCACGUUUUCUGUCAUGCAUGUACAUCCAUGACAAAUUUAUGACAGAAUCAAGAUAGUCAUACCUGUGCUGUCGUAGAAGUGUUCCAUGACAUUACCAAAAUUAUCAUCACGGAAGUGUCCACUUCCAUGACGAUAAAUUGCGCGUCACAGAAGUGCUUUCAUCAAGGGUGACCGACACGUGGCAUCCACCGUAACGGAACGCCGUUAAGCUAUCGGGUCAGGUUUUGGAUCCGAUAACCCGUUAACAGCCAGGAGCAAUGGGGAUUUUCCACGUGUAAAAUUCUGAUUGGCUGACGGAAACACGUGUCAGCUCCGCGUUGGCACAGGUGUCACUCAUCCAAUGGGCGAGAUGCGCCUAUGAUAUGCUGACACGUGGACCGGCCCAAAAGUGGCCCAUAAAGUUUAAAUGGGCCAACCCAACUAAAGGCCCACAAGAUUUUGCGGUCCAUAAUGGGCCAGCCCAGCAAAAGGCCCAUGAGAUUUUUCGUAUCAUAAUGGGCCGGCCCAGCUAAAGGCCCACGAGAUUUUGCGGGCCAUAAUGGGCCGGCCCAGCUAAAUGCCUGCGAGAUUUUGUGGACCAUAAUGGGUCGGCCCAGAUAAAGGCCCAACAUUCUCAGUUAAGGCCCGUAUGGCUAGUGUCAAAUCGGCCCAUCAACGGCCUGUCCUAAACUUGUCAUCAUCGUGGCCCACGAUCAUUUCUGGCCCGUUAACAGUUCGCUAAGUAUAUGGGCCGAAUUACGGCCCGGUGUAUUUCCGGCCUGUUAAAGGUCCUACUUCAUUUGGGCCCAUUUACAGGCCAUUGAAACUUUCGGCCCAUAAACGACCGUGAAGGAUUUGGGUCAUAUUCGGCCAUGUCUGACAUUCGGCCUAUUAGCGGCCCGCCAUAGAUUUGGGCCACUUUCGGCCUGUUGUGAUUUUUGGCCUGUUAACGCCGGACGAAAUCGAUGGGCCAUAUGUGGCCCAACGUCACAUCGGGCCCAUUAACGACCCAUAUAAAAAUGACAAUAAUCUAGCUCGACUGAACUUUCGGCAUGUUAAAGGCCCGUGUAUUAGGUCGGCGCAUUUACGACCCGUCCGAAUUUCGGCCUGUGAAAGAUCCGCAUCGUAAAUGGGCCCAAUCUCACUUUCGGUCUUUUAAAGGCCCAUGUUUUGUAUGGGCUCGAGAUAUUUACAUCUGUAAACGGCCUAUUGUUACUGAGGGCCCAAAUUAUGUUUAGGCCUGUUAAAGGCCCACUAUGGGCAGAGGCCUACCAGAAAAAUAUGAAAUCUUAUGCUGAUUUAGGCCCAGAUAUUUUUAGUGGGCUACAUGCAAAUUUCGGCCCAUAAUCAGUUUUAGCCCAAUUGGAAUGGGCCCGACGAAUGUUGGCAUGUUGGGCUCCUACGAAGCUUUUGGCCGAAUACAUUACUAAGAUAAACCUACACUAUACAAAAAUAGCGUCGUAAUUAUUGCAGCCUUUGGCAGCAGCAUAAAUGCUGUAUCACAACGAAAGGCCUGUUGGCAUAAAGUUUACAGUCCUUGUAGAUAAAAGCACCAUGAGAUGUAUAGAAGCACAAAUCAUUUGACCUGAGUGCUAAUGUUUCAGGCUGUAGAAUCUGAUGGUGCAGCACAAUCUUCACCUUUUUUCCGCCAUUGCUCUUGAACAACGAAGCGAAUGUCUGAUAGUCUGGUUUCAAAACCAUUCAUAUCUUGACGACAUUUGUCAACCACUAUUCUUGUUUCCAAAACGACGUCCAUUAGGGAUUGGACUUGUGUCUGG